AAGGGGGAGCAAAUGCGGAGUCCACUUUCUCUGAGACCGGUAUCUCCCCUGCGCUACCCCUCGGACUGCGCUCCCGCUGCGGCCGAGGCUCGUGGUGGGGGAGGAGAAAAGGGUGAGGGGUUGCGAUCUCAGAGUUUGUUUGGCUCGAAGUUUUCUGGCUCCGGCUAAGUCCCCUGACUGCCGUAUUGACACGAAUAGACGCCACCUCCAGUGGUACCCUUCCUCUCCUACCCCCUGGCCACGCUCUUGCUGCUCUGCAAUUUGUAUUCUUUCAAAUUUUGUCCGUGGAGAGCUGAAGCCAGUUUACCAGGACUCUUAGGAAAGCUGUGUUCUCAUUUGUCUCUACAUCGAACUUUAAGCAGUCCUUGGGCAAAGGUGGUAAUGGGCACAGCUCGGGUGUUGAGAACUCCACCAGAAUUCCACCAGAAUGGAAGCUUCCUCUAGGAGAGCAGGAUCUUUGUCCGAUUUUCCGCUGAAUCUUAAUCGCCCUGCAUUCAGUCCUUCUUCAGCAAAUGUGUUUGAAAUCACUUCUGUCCUUUCAAAUCAGCUAACUACCAAAUGACUGCGACCGCAGGAGCUCAAUAUGAGGUGUCGACAGAGCCAGGCUACUCAAAUCACGAUCCAGAAAUCAGAAUGCCUGACUAGGAGAUGGGAUUCAGAUGGCAGAAUAGGAGGACUGGAGCUCAACUUCUUUCCUAAAAACAACAAAACUCACGACCAAAUGCUGAGUAAUUUUCAACCAAAUGGACCGGACACUUUCAAAAAGACAUUCUACACUGGAAGACAAAGAGGAGGCCACAUCAAGAGGUACGAGGGGCCAUUAUGUGAUAAAAGCAACCUCAUACCUCCCCGGUGGGAAGCCCCACAGACUGGAAAGUAACUGGUUCACAGAGACUCACCUACAGGAGUGAGAGUUCUGAGCCCCACAUCAAACCCCCACACGUGGGGAUCUGGCACUGGGAGCAAGAGCCCCCGGAGCAUCUGGCAUUGAAGGCCAGUGGGGCUUGUGUGCAGGAGCUCCAGGGGACUGGGGAAGCGGAGACCCCAUUCUUGGAAGGCGCACACAGGCUUUCCCCUGCACUGGGUCCCAGGGCACAGCAGGGUCUCGG
RNAcentral lists this long non-coding RNA (1109 nucleotides) under Sus scrofa (pig). RNAcentral describes it as "lncRNA (ENSSSCG00015069758.1)". The record is from RNAcentral. Lineage: Eukaryota; Metazoa; Chordata; Mammalia; Artiodactyla; Suidae.